This 301-nucleotide ribosomal RNA is filed under the name uncultured bacterium. Its description in RNAcentral is "partial 16S ribosomal RNA". It matches the Rfam family "Bacterial small subunit ribosomal RNA", at positions 509 to 808 of the family's 1533-position model. The record is from RNAcentral.
CAGUCGCCGCGGUAAUACGUAGGUGGCAAGCGUUGUCCGGAAUUAUUGGGCGUAAAGCGCGCGCAGGCGGUUUCUUAAGUCUGAUGUGAAAGCCCCCGGCUUAACCGGGAAGGGUCAUUGGAAACUGGGAGACUUAGAGUGCAGAAGAGGAGAGUGGAAUUCCAUGUGUAGCGGUGAAAUGCGUAGAGAUGUGGAGGAACACCAGUGGCGAAGGCGACUCUCUGGUCUGUAACUGACGCUGAGGAGCGAAAGCGUGGGGAGCGAACAGGAUUAGAUACCCCCGUAGUCCCUGUCUCUUAUA